Molecule: small nuclear RNA, 285 nt
Filed under: Phalacrocorax carbo (great cormorant)
Lineage: Eukaryota; Metazoa; Chordata; Aves; Suliformes; Phalacrocoracidae
Description: 7SK RNA
Rfam family: 7SK RNA
About the family: 7SK was discovered as an abundant small nuclear RNA in the mid-70s but a possible function has only recently been suggested. Two independent studies have found that 7SK RNA binds the CDK9/cyclin T complex (known as elongation factor P-TEFb). P-TEFb activates transcription by phosphorylating the C-terminal domain of RNA polymerase II.
Source: Rfam by way of RNAcentral
GGAUGUUUCUGUAAAAAGUUUAAUAUUCUCACUUUCUAGAUACACAGAGUAUGACAAAAAGUUCCUCCCUCACUGCUCCAUGUGUGUCCCUGCCAAGGUUGUCCACUCGGUCGAAGAGGACGACCUUCCCUGAUAGAGGCAUACCGUUCAUUGGUCCAAGGGUAUACGGUAGCUGCACUCCCCUGCUAGAACCUCCAAACCAGGACAAUGUAUUGAAGACUUCUCUAUCAUGCCUCUGAGACAGCAAAAACUAGAUUUUUUCUAAAUGCAAAAGCUCUAUUCUUU